Molecule: long non-coding RNA, 4234 nt
Organism: Mastomys coucha (southern multimammate mouse)
Lineage: Eukaryota; Metazoa; Chordata; Mammalia; Rodentia; Muridae
Exons: 3
Source: RefSeq, a predicted model, not a curated record
GCCGCCCAAGGCCGGAGCCGUUGGUGAGGGUUGCCGGUGACCGUUGCACCGGCAGCCGCUGCUACUAGGGGUAAAGUGAGGAUGCCGCUCUGGGACGUCCCUGUGGGCUGCACCAAAGCCCGCAAGCCCGGGGAACGACAGAUCUCACCUCCCGCUCGACUCCCGGUGGGUUGAGGGACCCUCUGCCUCCGUCCCGCCCUUGUCACACUUCCUUCUCUGAGGGCUUGGACAGUGCUCUUCGCAGCCACCUCUGUCCCUGCCCGCCUGUCAUGGAGCCCGCUGGGCGGAUUUUCGGGCUCUGGCACCCAGUCAGCCUGCGAGUGCGAAGUCGCCCCAGCCUGCCACCAAGGAAGUCAGAUGGUGCUGUCUUCUGCUGGUUACUUCACAGCACCUCCAUUUUCAAGGAAGAUCUUCUGAGAAUAAACUUGGAAAGUACUGUGACCACAAAACAUGAUAUUCACAGAGAGUUCAAAGGGAUAGUGGAUACAGAAUAAGAAAAUUUGAGAGAUCAAAACUCAGGAGUUGAGUUCCAACCUGGAAAACAAGAGCAGGGGACUUUCCAGCCAGCACCAAUGUUAUUCUGAUUGAAUGACAAGAUUUUUCUUCUUUUGAACUCAGAAGUCAUUUGGAAACUUUGGGGGAAAUUUCACCACAUCCUUUAAGUCUUGCUUAUGGUUGGCAGGGGAGAUACAUUAGAACUUACAGAAGUAUCUCAGCCUCCAGUGUCAGUAGCCUUGCCAUAAAUCUACCCCCCCCCCCAAGGUUUCCUGUGCAGGCUUCAUUGUCAGUGUGGUUCACGUUCACAGUUUUACUUUCACAGCUAGCCAUAUUUUCCUGGAUGGUCUUAAACUAUAUGCUGAGUUUGGGGUUUUUUGUUUUGUCUUAUUGGAUUUUGUUUGUUUUGUUUAUUUUGCAGAGAGUUUUCAGACUUUUCUGUUAGGUAAAUUUUACAUUACCGUUAAAUGCUUUCCAAGUUGUGCAUUGCCCAGUAACUGCUUCUCUCUAUUCUAGUUUUGAUGGAAUUUUGACUUUAUUUUUAUUUCGUGUCUUAAUCUUUGAACAUGAACCAGACCACUAUUAGUUUCUACUAGAGACGUGUUUGGCAUGUGUACUUGAUCAUGCGUAUGUCUGCACACAUGUGACAUGGGUGUAGAGGACAGAGGUUGAUUUGGGGUGUUUUCCUCCAUCACUCUUCCACCUUUGGCUUUGACCCAAGGUCUCUCACUGAACCUGUAAUUCAUCAGUUCAGACAAGCUGGCUAGCCAAUGAGUUUCCCAGAUCUGCCUGUCUCUGCCCUCUCAGGACCUAAUCUGCCAUAUUAGAUGAGCACUAUUUUAGCUGAGUUGUCUACUAUACCCUGUGGGAAAACAUGUAUCCACAGGAUUCUUAUUUGGGUCUUUCUUCUUCAUCUACUUUAUCUUCUUUCUAAGUAUCUUUCCCUGGCAUUUGUUAUAUCGCAAGCUUUUGUAUCUACAUUUCUUGACUCCUUCAUGGUUAUUUCAGUCCUGCUUUUCCCUUUUGUCAUCCUAGCAGGGACUCUUAAAGCAUCGUGUGUGGGCAGCUGCUCCUCCAUGACCUCUAUGGGCCUCUCUUGAGAAAGUACUUUAUUAAGGCAAACCACAGCUCCUGUCACUCAGCUGGUUUCAGGGCUGCGAGUGCUACUGAUCAUUCUCCUCCACAGUCAAUGGCAAGUUCUUUGUCCCUUAGGUUGUUUCUUCCAUAAACCUAAUUAAUUAAUUACCUAUAUGUUUUUCUGUACCUAGCAUCAUUUUGGUUUCCACUGCCAAGAUGGGAAAUCCUUGCCUGCUCAUACCUGGAUCCAGAAUUCAAAAUGUCUAAACAGUAGCUCUAACUUAUAGUCUAGUAGGAGUCUUAUUGUGUCUCCUGGCAGAAAUGCAUCCCAUUUGGAAGCCAGGACUUUUAUACCUUCAAUGUGUUGUGGGGACUGGAAAGUGUCCCUUAACAAGUCAGUAGGACUGGUGUUCAGUGGGGUCAUUUCUGCUUUCUCUGUUUUGUUCUUGGAACUACGUGUUUGUUCUUAGUAGGGACAAUAAUCUAACCCAGUGUACCUACUGUUUCCUGAAGGACAGUGCUUAAUCUUUAUGAAGUCCUGCUUCUGAACUGGCACUUCAGUUAUAGCAUUAUCACAGUGAAAGCAAACAUUGGUGUUAAACAGCAAGGUCAGAAACACAGAGGAAGAUAAAUAAGAAGGCUUGCACCUGGCUAUGAAAUAGCCAAGCUAAGCAGGUAAGAGAAGAGGCAGAACUCUGGACUGUUUGAGCAGGGCCCAGGAGCUCCGUCCCCCCUGCAGAAACAUGUGCACGGUAUUGUUCCCUUUCCCUUAGUAAACAUCUAAAAUUUACAGGUAGUUUAACCUUCAUGGAUAGCCAUGCAUCUAAUUGUAACAGACUGAAUUGUGGGUAAUGGCUUCUGAGAAAGUCUCCACCUUUUUUAGGAGGGCAACCUCUCUAGACAGCCCCAGGGAUAGACAAAGGAGAACUGGUGGACAAAGGUGCCACUUGGCUCACGGUACCCUCUCUCUUCUUUUUACCUUCCGACCUGCUACAGUAAACCUCAACAACUUGUUUGCCCUACCUGUCCCCUAAUGUGAAUCUCUUAACUUGAGAUUGGAAGACAUGUGCCUGGUGAUCUGUCAGGUUGAAUGACCCUGUUGAUUCCCUGGUCAUGAGUCCACAUAGUAUCUUUUUACUCUGAAGUAGGUCCCAUUUACAUGCUGUUGAAUUCGGUCUCUCAUCUAUAUCAUGCAUUCUUUAAGGCCCUAAAUAAUGAUGAUAUAGGCUAAGGCCCUGGAAGGCAAAACAACAAAUCCAUACCCAGAAUAAAUAUUUAUCCCUGUUAGGAUAGACCACUAGCCACCCCAAAAUUGAAAGAGUCUAUGUGAUUGACCAGGUAUCUGCUUUGUCUUGAGUAAUACUGCAGUAUUGGGAACACAGUGUAGGUCUCUGUUCCUAGCAGGUUCCUUAGAAACAGAUGUAGGUAUGGAUUGGCUUUUGUAGCUGGGAAUUUACAUUGUGACUCACAUAUAGCCUCCUGUGCAAACAUGACUGCUCAUGUGUUUGUCUUAGUGACAGUUCUAGAGUUGAUUGUGACAAACGCUUAACACCAACUGAUAGAAUCCUUCAUCGAUUUGAAUUUUUCUGUUUCUCUUUCAUGAUGGAUGUUCUAGUCAGAAUGAACAUGUCAUUAACCGCUAAGCAAGACAGCCACCUUUAGGGACAGAAUCCUAUGUUGAUGCACCUUCAGAGUAUCCUUUCUUUAUUUGCAGCUAAGGCUUUAUGGCAUAAGCAGCAGAGCAUUCCUUGAGGCAUGUCUACUCAUUAGUUUUUGCUCAACAAGCUCCAGAAUGUGUCUACUAUAUCCUCUUUCAACACUGUGACCUUAAACUGAAUUUGCUCAGGGAUGUAUCCUUAACUAAGCAUGCUUUUUAUUCAGUCUUGGGCCAACCCUUAUGUGAAUGUAUAUAGGCUCUCUGAAUAAAAUUCCCUUGUUUUCUUUGUUGGAAGAGCUUUGGAAAGGACACCUGUGUUCUCAUCUGUUGCAAAUAAUCUUUCUCUAGUCUUUUUAUAUAUUGGCUGUGAUUAUUUUGGCUUGCACUCAAUGAUAUGUGAAUGCAUUACAUUUGAUUACAAUAUAAUAAAAAAGACCCUCACCCCUUGUGACCGCAUAUCUCCAUUUUUAUAGCUCUCUUCCCUACUCCACUGUCUCUGGUCUUCCAGUCUUCUCUGCUGAGAUCCUGGCCUUCAGCUAGGCCAUUGCCACUGCACAGGAAUCUUCACAACAGAUUUACUCUCCUUCCACAUCGGGUGAAUGAAAAGUUAUGGGGUGAAAGCUUUGCUAUUAGGAAGAUUUGCCCUCUCACUGUCUUCUAGGGUCACCUAAGUGUAGCUUCCUUUUUGUACCAAGCUGAAUUCUUUAUAUAACAAGCCAACAUCCUCUCUUAUCCAGGGCAGUUGGAGGAAAAUGUGCUGGUUCAAGCUCAGUACAUGGUAAUAAGAAUCUGGAAUACAAGUUCAUGUAGUUGAUUCACUCCUGCUAGUGCAAUAUAUCAUUUACAUACCACCAUGAACUGCUGCUGAGCCAAUCUACCUUAGGACUUAGCCCAUAAUGAAUUUUUCAAAUACAUAGUAACUUGGUAUCCAUGGUCAAGUUUUUUUGUCUUUGUCUGGUACCAUAUCUAGAAUGGUUUCUUGAAAAUAGUAAAAUCCUUAUAAAG